RNAcentral lists this ribosomal RNA (253 nucleotides) under uncultured bacterium. RNAcentral's name for it is "partial 16S ribosomal RNA". It matches the Rfam family "Bacterial small subunit ribosomal RNA", at positions 524 to 776 of the family's 1533-position model. The record is from RNAcentral.
UACAGAGGUCCCGAGCGUUAUGCGGAAUCACUGGGCUUAAAGCGUGUGUAGGCGGAUCGUUAAGUACCUUGUGAAAUCCCACGGCUUAACCGUGGAACUGCUUGGUAUACUGGCGGUCUUGAGCCACUUAGGGGCUACCGGAACAAAUGGUGGAGCGGUGAAAUGCGUAGAGAUGUGGAGGAACACCAGUGGCGAAGGCGACUCUUUGGCCUGUAACUGACGCUGAGGCGCGAAAGCGUGGGGAGCAAACAGG